RNAcentral lists this unclassified non-coding RNA (240 nucleotides) under soil metagenome. RNAcentral describes it as "partial contains 5.8S ribosomal RNA, internal transcribed spacer 2, and large subunit ribosomal RNA". The record is from RNAcentral.
AACAAGGCGUACCUGCGGACCUGCGGAGGGAUCAUUAUAGAAUUUAAUUUUUUUUACUCCUUAAGGGGGGUUUAAAAAAAAAAUUCCAAACCCUUUUGUUUUAAAAACCUUUGUUGCUUUGGUAAGGAGAGGGAUGAAGGGGGGGGGGGAGGGUUUUUCCCUUUUCUCCUCUUCCCCCUUACCAAAGGAAAUUUUAAAAACUCUGAUUUUUUUAACUGUCUGAAAAUUUUUUAAAAUGAA